RNAcentral lists this ribosomal RNA (200 nucleotides) under uncultured Glomeromycotina. RNAcentral's name for it is "partial small subunit ribosomal RNA". It matches the Rfam family "Eukaryotic small subunit ribosomal RNA", at positions 591 to 797 of the family's 1831-position model. Lineage: Eukaryota; Fungi; Glomeromycota. The record is from RNAcentral.
CCAAUAGCGUAUAUUAAAGUUGCUGCAGUUAAAAAGCUCGUAGUUGAAUUUCGGGACCAAUAUGUCGGUCGUGCCUCAGUACGUACUGGCAUCGUUGGUUUCUCCCUUCUGACGAACCAUGAUGUCAUUUAUUUGGUGUCGUGGGGAAUCAGGACUGUUACUUUGAAAAAAUUAGAGUGUUUAAAGCAGGCUCAUGCUUG